This is a long non-coding RNA of Gopherus evgoodei (Goodes thornscrub tortoise), 215 nucleotides long. RefSeq lists it as uncharacterized. The record is from RefSeq and is a predicted model, not a curated record. The transcript is spliced from 3 exons. Lineage: Eukaryota; Metazoa; Chordata; Testudines; Testudinidae.
UAAUCUAACCCCAUUGUGCCACUUUGGCACAGGAAAAAAGUGAGAAAGCACAUAGAUCUUCCUAGUUGAUUCCCUUACUGUCAUUAAUAAGGUUUAUAUCACUCUGGCAAUGCAGAGGCCUUAAAACUUUUACAGAUUUUAUGCUCCUGGGGGAAUUGACUGAGAAUGGGAACAGUUAACUAACAAUAGGAACAUUAACAAUAUUGGCAGUGUAG